AUUGAACGCUGGCGGCAGGCUUAACACAUGCAAGUCGAGCGGGGGGAGGUAGCUUGCUACCGGACCUAGCGGCGGACGGGUGAGUAAUGUUUAGGAAUCUGCCUAUUAGUGGGGGACAACAUCUCGAAAGGGAUGCUAAUACCGCAUACGUCCUACGGGAGAAAGCAGGGGAUCUUCGGACCUUGCGCUAAUAGAUGAGCCUAAGUCGGAUUAGCUAGUUGGUGGGGUAAAGGCCUACCAAGGCGACGAUCUGUAGCGGGUCGGAGAGGAUGAUCCGCCACACUGGGACUGAGACACGGCCCAGACUCCUACGGGAGGCAGCAGUGGGGAAUAUUGGACAAUGGGGGGAACCCUGAUCCAGCCAUGCCGCGUGUGUGAAGAAGGCCUUAUGGUUGUAAAGCACUUUAAGCGAGGAGGAGGCUACUUUAGUUAAUACCUAGAGAUAGUGGACGUUACUCGCAGAAUAAGCACCGGCUAACUCUGUGCCAGCCGCCGCCGUAA
Molecule: ribosomal RNA, 501 nt
Filed under: uncultured bacterium
Lineage: Bacteria
Description: partial 16S ribosomal RNA
Rfam family: Bacterial small subunit ribosomal RNA
Source: RNAcentral